GCCCGGGUAGCUCAGUCGGUAGAGCAUUGGACUUUUAAUCCAAGGGUCCAGGGUU
This 55-nucleotide transfer RNA is filed under the name Drosophila mojavensis. It matches the Rfam family "tRNA", at positions 1 to 53 of the family's 71-position model. Rfam says of the family: Transfer RNA (tRNA) molecules are approximately 80 nucleotides in length. Their secondary structure includes four short double-helical elements and three loops (D, anti-codon, and T loops). The record is from Rfam by way of RNAcentral. Lineage: Eukaryota; Metazoa; Arthropoda; Insecta; Diptera; Drosophilidae.